RNAcentral lists this transfer RNA (71 nucleotides) under Marmota monax (woodchuck). RNAcentral's name for it is "tRNA.Ala". Lineage: Eukaryota; Metazoa; Chordata; Mammalia; Rodentia; Sciuridae. The record is from RNAcentral.
GGGGUUGUGGCUCCGUGGGAGAGUGCUUGUCUGGCACAUAUGAAGCACUGGGUUCAAUCCUCAGCACCACA